CCGCAUAAGCGCACGGUACCGCAUGGUACAGUGUGAAAAACUCCGGUGGUGUGAGAUGGAUCCGCGUCUGAUUAGGUAGUUGGUGAGGUAACGGCCCACCAAGCCGACGAUCAGUAGCCGACCUGAGAGGGUGACCGGCCACAUUGGGACUGAGACACGGCCCAAACUCCUACGGGAGGCAGCAGUGGGGAAUAUUGCACAAUGGGCGAAAGCCUGAUGCAGCAACGCCGCGUGAGUGAAGAAGUAUCUCGGUAUGUAAAGCUCUAUCAGCAGGGAAGAAAAUGACGGUACCUGACUAAGAAGCCCCGGCUAACUACGUGCCAGCAGCCGCGGUAAUACGUAGGGGGCAAGCGUUAUCCGGAUUUACUGGGUGUAAAGGGAGCGCAGACGGCACUGCAAGUCUGAAGUGAAAGCCCGGGGCUCAACCCCGGGACUGCUUUGGAAACUGUAGAGCUAGAGUGCUGGAGAGGCAAGCGGAAUUCCUAGUGUAGCGGUGAAAUGCGUAGAUAUUAGGAAGAACACCAGUGGCGAAGGCGGCUUGCUGGACAGUAACUGACGUUCAGGCUCGAAAGCGUGGGGAGCAAACGGGAUUAGAUACCCUGGUAGUCCACGCCGU
Molecule: ribosomal RNA, 616 nt
Filed under: uncultured bacterium
Lineage: Bacteria
Description: bacterial SSU rRNA
Rfam family: Bacterial small subunit ribosomal RNA
Source: RNAcentral